ACAGGAGGGUGGAUCAUACGUGA
RNAcentral lists this non-coding RNA (23 nucleotides) under Arabidopsis thaliana (thale cress). Lineage: Eukaryota; Viridiplantae; Streptophyta; Magnoliopsida; Brassicales; Brassicaceae. The record is from RNAcentral.